AUCUCAUCAUAGAUGGUUGUGAACCACCAUCAUAUGGUUGCUGGGAAUUGAAUUCAGGACCUCUGGAAGAACAGCCUCUUAACAUCUGAGCCAUCUCUCCAGCACCCAAGAGCUGUGCUAAUCUUCCUGCUUAUGUUCCAUGAAGACUUGAAAGGACUUCUCCUCACAAUCAGCGGCCCGAGAUCAGCUUUGGAGUCUUUCAGUUUCUUCUAUGAUUUUUCUCUAAGUGCGGUCUGAUCUAUACACCCCAGGAUUAAUGGAGAGUCACUCCCAGUCACAGAAGCAACUUGCUAAUCUCCCCUCCACCCUGCGCCUUGCUUUAAGGACACUGCUCAAUGCUGG
Mesocricetus auratus (golden hamster) is the source of this 342-nucleotide long non-coding RNA. RefSeq lists it as uncharacterized. The record is from RefSeq and is a predicted model, not a curated record. The transcript has 3 exons. NCBI's taxonomy places the organism in Eukaryota, Metazoa, Chordata, Mammalia, Rodentia, Cricetidae.